Molecule: ribosomal RNA, 733 nt
Filed under: Neocallimastix cameroonii
Lineage: Eukaryota; Fungi; Neocallimastigomycota; Neocallimastigomycetes; Neocallimastigales; Neocallimastigaceae
Description: partial large subunit ribosomal RNA
Rfam family: Eukaryotic large subunit ribosomal RNA
Source: RNAcentral
ACGGCGAGUGAAGCGGGAAGAGCUCAAAUUUGAAAUCUUCAAGGUUCUACCUUGACGAAUUGUAGUUUAAAGAAGUGUUUUCUGUUAGAGGAGUAGCGAAAGUUCCUUGGAAUGGGACAUCAUAGAGGGUGAGAAUCCCGUAUUUGGUUAUUCUUUCUAGCUUUGUGAUACACUUUCAAAGAGUCGGAUUGUUUGGGAAUGCAGUCCAAAAUGGGUGGUAAAUUUCAUCUAAAGCUAAAUAUUGGCGAGAGACCGAUAGCGAACAAGUACCGUGAGGGAAAGAUGAAAAGAACUUUGAAAAGAGAGUUAAACAGUACGUGAAAUUGUCAAAAGGGAAGCGUUUGACACCAGUGUUGUUUUUCCGAAAAUCAAUUAAGAAUGGCUUGAUUUUGUGUUGUAUUGACCUUAUCAGCUUUCUUCACUCUUUUUCGAGUCUUUCUUAAUGCACUUUUCGGUUAACAAGUCAACAUCAAUUUCUUUUGUUGUAAAAGGGUAUUUGGAAGGUGGCUUUCUUUUCGGAGAAAGUGUUUAUAGCCUUAUACCUCUACAAUCGGAGAGAUUGAGGUCUGCAGCGUAGAUCCUUCGGGGCUAGAUACACUUGUGCUAAGUUAUAGCUUUUCAUAGACAACUUGUUGACUAUGUUUAGUCAUGUAGCUUACCCGCUUGUGCUAUUUUACCUACGCUUAGGAUGUUGACAAAAUGGUUUUAAACGACCCGUCUUGAAACACGGACC